CCCUCGAUAGCUCAGUUGGCAGAACGGAGGACUGUAGAUGUUACAACGGUGAUCCUUAGGUCGCUGGUUCAAAUCCGGCUCGAAGGA
Molecule: transfer RNA, 87 nt
Filed under: Cordylochernes scorpioides
Lineage: Eukaryota; Metazoa; Arthropoda; Arachnida; Pseudoscorpiones; Chernetidae
Description: tRNA-Tyr
Rfam family: tRNA
About the family: Transfer RNA (tRNA) molecules are approximately 80 nucleotides in length. Their secondary structure includes four short double-helical elements and three loops (D, anti-codon, and T loops).
Source: RNAcentral